Mytilus trossulus (common blue mussel) is the source of this 759-nucleotide long non-coding RNA. RefSeq lists it as uncharacterized. Lineage: Eukaryota; Metazoa; Mollusca; Bivalvia; Mytilida; Mytilidae. The record is from RefSeq and is a predicted model, not a curated record. The transcript has 3 exons.
UAACACUCUAAUUGAUUCUUUAUUGCACAUAUUGCUGUUUAACAAUUAAACUUGGUGUACAGCAUUUCAUCAAGUUUCCCUGUUAGAUUACAACUGAAUACCCAGGGAUAAUAUUCAGUAAAAUUAACUAAUAAAUUACAUUGUUUUAAUUCACACAUUAAACUAUUAUUAUAUGUGUUACAAAUAGUCUUUUCUACAUCACUUAAAGUAUUUUCAGAUAUAUUCAUAUAAAAAAUAUCUACACACUAAUUGUUUUACGGAAUUUGAUCAUUCAUCCGGAAUGACUUUUUAGGUUCUUUUAUUAUUUAAUCAAAAAUAAAUAUUGCGGUCAAGUGACCUCACACGCCUUGUCUUAUCCUCGUGUUUGGACAAUAUUUUUUGAAGUGUUUCGUGAAUUUGGAUUAUUAAUUUCGAUGUGGUUUUAAGAGUUUGGAAUAAUAUUGCGUAAAGGUUGCUGUAGGCCAUUAGCAUUGACCGUACAGAUGUGCAAAUAGUUUUUCAUGGUGGUUUAUAGUUGGAUAUUUUAAAUUUCAUACAAUAGCAUGGAUAAAGCUUUCAUGAAGAACAGACCAUUUAUAAUCUUCAUUAUUGGAAUUGAUUAGACUAUCUGUCAGUCUGAAUAUUUUAAGUGGACAACCUUCAUCAGCUGUGUCACAUAACAACAAACAUUUUGAGACAUAUCUCGAAUAAUAUAUACAGUUAAAAAUAAAUGAAAUCAGUGCUAUACAUACUGUUUUGUGAAAAAUAUGAUUGACAAAA